RNAcentral lists this ribosomal RNA (143 nucleotides) under uncultured eukaryote. RNAcentral's name for it is "partial 18S ribosomal RNA". It matches the Rfam family "Eukaryotic small subunit ribosomal RNA", at positions 1299 to 1458 of the family's 1831-position model. The record is from RNAcentral.
UGGUGGAGCGAUUUGUCUGGUCAAUUCCUAUAACGAACGAGACUCUAGCCUACUAAAUAGUUCGGGGACCCCCACAAAGGGGCCCCGCUUCAACUUCUUAGAGGGACAGGUGGCGUUUAGCCACACGAGAUUGAGCAAUAACA